GAGUUUGAUCCUGGCUCAGAUUGAACGCUGGCGGCAGGCCUAACACAUGCAAGUCGAGCGGUAGAGAGAAGCUUGCUUCUCUUGAGAGCGGCGGACGGGUGAGUAAUGCCUAGGAAUCUGCCUGGUAGUGGGGGAUAACGCUCGGAAACGGACGCUAAUACCGCAUACGUCCUACGGGAGAAAGCAGGGGACCUUCGGGCCUUGCGCUAUCAGAUGAGCCUAGGUCGGAUUAGCUAGUUGGUGAGGUAAUGGCUCACCAAGGCGACGAUCCGUAACUGGUCUGAGAGGAUGAUCAGUCACACUGGAACUGAGACACGGUCCAGACUCCUACGGGAGGCAGCAGUGGGGAAUAUUGGACAAUGGGCGAAAGCCUGAUCCAGCCAUGCCGCGUGUGUGAAGAAGGUCUUCGGAUUGUAAAGCACUUUAAGUUGGGAGGAAGGGCAGUAAAUUAAUACUUUGCUGUUUUGACGUUACCGACAGAAUAAGCACGGCUAACUCUGUGCCAGCCGCCG
RNAcentral lists this ribosomal RNA (512 nucleotides) under uncultured bacterium. Its description in RNAcentral is "bacterial SSU rRNA". It matches the Rfam family "Bacterial small subunit ribosomal RNA", at positions 9 to 517 of the family's 1533-position model. The record is from RNAcentral.